Molecule: long non-coding RNA, 1334 nt
Organism: Mustela erminea (ermine)
Lineage: Eukaryota; Metazoa; Chordata; Mammalia; Carnivora; Mustelidae
Exons: 2
Source: RefSeq, a predicted model, not a curated record
UCUUUCCCUCUGUGGUCCGGCAGUCGUCGGCCACCGUGGCUCUCAUCGCGUGCGGCGCCUGGCUCCUGCCGGCGGUUUUGUCACCAGGUGGCAGGGCUGGACACCCUGCUCAGAAGUAAGGUGGGAAGAGAUGUGGGGAGGACCGAGAGUGAGAAGUGCAGAGGAGAGAGAGGGAGCGAAGGGACGUUUUCUCCCGGCUCUUUCCUUCAGAAGCCUUUAUCUCAAGACGGGAGUUCAGGGGACUCUCCAAAACCUGGGAGGCUGAACUUCUGUUGCAUCUCCGGUUGCGUUUCUGUUCCUGGGCGCAUCGGCCCUUCUUCCCUGUUAGCUGCAGUUUUAAUUAUCUGGACAGGUCCCUGUUGAAGUCACACUUGUUUCCCCCAAAGAUGACAAAGGAGAGAAACUCAGCUGUGGGGAGAGAAGGAAGACCCUCUGGGCCUUUGUGCUGCUCUGCCCCUGCACUUCCUGGUGGGAAAUUAUCCACAAUUUGCCUCCGUCUCCUCCACCUUCAGGGGGGCAUUCUCCUUCCCCUCAGCUGUAGACCCAAUAUGGAUUUAUGGCUGGGAACAAGCUGGAACAUUGGGGGAAGCCUUUAGGAACGCAUUGGUAGAGCAAGAGACAAAAAGGGAAUAUGUUAGUAGAUAGACUGACUUACAAAAUAUGGCUGGCUCCUUUCCAGUUUGUGGUGGCUCACAGUUUCCAAGAGCUACAAGGAGCUACCAGUGGAGGCUUACCAACAGAUGGAUACAUCUCUGCCCUUGUAGAACUUCUAGUCUAGCAUGGCGUGGAGACAAACAUCCAGGACGACUACCUGAAGUCGUCCCUCCCCAUCCCAUCCAAAGCCUGACCAGCCCUGUUCUCUCACCAGACUCUCCCAGAUCUCCAGUGGGAAUACAUUUCUUUCAACCCUGCGCAGCACAGCUUUUCUGUUUGCCUCUAUUCCGCACUGCCUUGUGUUCUAGGCGCUGUUACGUACGUCUCUACGAGCUGCCAGCUGCAAACACGGGGGGAUCAGAGACUCUGUUCUCAUCAUCUUUUCCCCACUGCUGUGUCUAGCACAAACCCUGGCCUGGGGCCAGAUUGAAUUGAUGGUGUGGUCCCAGUUCCAGGUGCUCCUGCGUGUGCCUCAGGCGUCUUCCUGGCUUCUGGUGGGUGAUUGGGGACAGGUGGAUUCCCUCAGUCUAUUGUCUAUUGUCCUUUGGGGAAGAAGGGGCUGUUGUCACUGUGUCCGCAGCCUUUUGCUAUCUACCCAUAACAGGACCAUUGAGACCUCUGCACACAUUUGAAUAUAAACUUAAAAUACAAAAAAAAAAAAAAGAAAAAAGAAAAAAGAG